Molecule: ribosomal RNA, 253 nt
Filed under: uncultured bacterium
Lineage: Bacteria
Description: partial 16S ribosomal RNA
Rfam family: Bacterial small subunit ribosomal RNA
Source: RNAcentral
UACGUAGGGUGCGAGCGUUGUCCGGAUUUAUUGGGCGUAAAGGGCUCGUAGGCGGCCAACUAAGUCAGACGUGAAAUCCCUCGGCUUAACCGGGGAACUGCAUCUGAUACUGGAUGGCUUGAGUUCGGGAGAGGUAAGCGGAAUUCCUGGUGUAGCGGUGAAAUGCGUAGAUAUCAGGAGGAACACCUGUGGUGUAGACAGCUUACUGGACCACGACUGACGCUGAGACACGAAAGCGUGGGUAGCAAACAGG